AGCGAACGCUGGCGGCAGGCCUAACACAUGCAAGUCGAACGAACCUUUCGGGGUUAGUGGCGGAAGGGUGAGUAACACGUGGGAACGUGCCUUUAGGUUCGGAAUAACUCAGGGAAACUUGUGCUAAUACCGAAUGUGCCCUUCGGGGGAAAGAUUAAUCGCCUUUAGAGCGGCCCGCGUCUGAUUAGCUAGUUGGUUGAGGUAAUGGCUCACCAAGGCGACGAUCAGUAGCUGGUCUGAGAGGAUGAUCAGCCACAUUGGGACUGAGACACGGCCCAAACUCCUACGGGAGGCAGCAGUGGGGAAUCUUGCGCAAUGGGCGAAAGCCUGACGCAGCCAUGCCGCGUGAAUGAUGAAGGUCUUAGGAUUGUAAAAUUCUUUCACCGGGGACGAUAAUGACGGUACCCGGAGAAGAAGCCCCGGCUAACUUCGUG
Molecule: ribosomal RNA, 434 nt
Filed under: uncultured bacterium
Lineage: Bacteria
Description: partial 16S ribosomal RNA
Rfam family: Bacterial small subunit ribosomal RNA
Source: RNAcentral